Long non-coding RNA from Myotis davidii, 2409 nucleotides. RefSeq lists it as uncharacterized. NCBI's taxonomy places the organism in Eukaryota, Metazoa, Chordata, Mammalia, Chiroptera, Vespertilionidae. The transcript has 3 exons. The record is from RefSeq and is a predicted model, not a curated record.
CCGGGCAUUACUAAUCUUUCUAUGCCUCAGUUUCCUUACCUGUAAGAUGGGAUAAACAACAUGCCAAGCUCACAGGACUGCUGGGAGGCAUCAGUGAGAUGAUGCCGGGCCGCACACAGGGAGUGUGCUCUGCAGGGCGCCCACAGGACCGGGUGAUGCCGCUGCCCUGCCAGUGUGAGGCUCUGGGCAGUAGCCCUACAGCACCGCUCCUGCUUCCUCCCAUGCCUCCCCUUAGGUUAUUUCUUAUCAGGUCAGACUAUAGUGCUGCCACAAGCACUUCCCUCCCUCACAUCAAUUCUUCAGUUCUCACAUACUAGGAGAUACACAGUACUAUCACCCACCUCCUGGAGGGCUUACUGCUCCUGCUUGCUGGGUCUCCACUGUUUAAAACAAAAGAGACACGUGUUGUUUCUGAUGUUAACUGUUCUUCCUCAAGAUGUACGCUUAACAAUUCUAUUUAACAGAAACUUUCUCCCGCAGCCAUCGGAGAAGGCACUGUUUGCAGGAAUGAGGGACUUCCCUCUGAACAGUAGAAAUUAUCGAGCCUGGUUAGUUCCCAUCAGAACCCAUUUUCUCUCCACUGGGGCCCAGCUCUGAGGGAAACUCCGAAGGAACCGAAGGAGGUGGCUUUGAAGGCCAUCUGCCAACUGCCCGCACAAUUCCGGCCGGCAGCACACAACCCAGGGCCCAGUUUGGAAACGAACUCCUCACCCUCUGCAAAAUGCCUGCUCACAGACCAGGCCAGUCUCCACUCUUCCCACCGUCCACUGUAUUUACUCACUUGGUCACCCCACAUGGCUGGCUGGGGGGUCUCACUCACCCCUGCAACAAACCUUGUUUAUUGUUCACUCCCUGACCUAGACAGAGAACAUCCACACUCCUCAGGGCCCUACGGCGCCUUCACAACAUGCCUGCUGUCUCCCAUCUCAGCUGAGGCCUCUCCCUGCACAGGCAUCCUGGGGGCAGCCUUAAAGGUGCAAUAGGCUCUUCCUCAGCCCCACAUGCCCUGCAUCCUGCCUUGGAGACCAUGCUCACUGGGGUUUAGUCCUCCUGGCGUCCGCACUGUACACACACCUGUCCUCACAUGUGGCAAUGCUUUCCCUUUAUUUACAUGACUCAGCUGCCUGCAAGCUCUACCUUGUGUGCUGUGCACUGUGCUAUGGGCUGGAAUGACCACGAUAAAGACAUGACCUCGGUUUUCAGAGGAGCAUCCACACAGAUCAUCUCAGCUGUAAUAAAAAUGAGACGAGCUCUGACCUGUGUGGCUCAGUUGGCUGAGUGUCAUCCUGUGCGCCAAAAAGUUGCUGGUUCGAUGCCUGGUCAGGGCACAUGCUCAGGUGUGGGUCCCACCCCACGUCGGGGUUCAUGUGGGAGGCACCGAGUGUUUCUCUCUCACAUCAGUGAUUCUCUCUCCCUCUCUAAAAAUCAAUAAAAACAUUAAAAACGAAGAGACAAGAGCCAUAGCAUAGGCUGCUUCAGUAACAAAAGUUGUCAUUCACUGAGAGGAAGGGAAGGGACUUGGAGUUAAAAGGACAGGAGAUUAUUCAAGGAGGGAAGGGCAGGCCAAGAAAAGGAAAGGCAUGAAAGUGUAGUGUGCCUGUGAGAGGAACUGGUUCAAAUUGCUGGAGACCUAGGGGAAGGUGGCAGACCAGCGCAGGCUCUGGUGUGAGGCAAGGCCAGGGCCACAGAGCCUCGAGUGAGACAGAACAGCAAUGAAAAUGUGGCCAGACCACAGUCCUGAGCCCAUCACUGUCACCCAUGUCAUGUGGCUCUGGUACUAAGAACAGUCAGGUUGUCCCUGCACCAGGCUUUGUCUUCAUGUGGGCACCGCAUCCCACAGAAGUCCCUGGAAAUGCUUUGUGCUCUGGCUGCGAGUGUAGAUCCAGAGCCUGCCGGGGUCAAAUGUCGGACUUGUGGGCUCCACUUUAGACUACCACCCUUGUUCUCUGACCUUCUACUUCUAAGUCCUAUCUUUUUACACCCAGGAAAGCGGCUUUAGCACUUUUUUUUUUUUUUUUUUUUGAAAAAGGAUAUUGUGAGUAACUGGUUGCUCUGAGAUCAGCAGUGGAUGAAUUUUGAGGAGGGAAAACCAACAGCAGGGGAUGGGUGGAAGGAGCAACCACCCAGAUUGGAUGAACACAGAAUGGAGGUGGGACUUGGGGUGACUGGUCAUAACAGAAACCAAGAGACAGUCCAGGGAGAGCGUGCGGUAAGAGAGCGUGGAGUUCACCAACUUGUAAGGUUUAGGCAAGGCAGACAAAGUGUCCACUGGGAGAAGAGCGAAGGGCCCGGCCAGGGGAAGUGUGAGAACAGCCUGGGGCGAUGGGGAGCAGGGAUGAGCUGGCAGGUUUAACAUAAGGGCUGCCAAGUAUCCAAUGAGGACCUGAACUAAUAAUGCCUUUCUUAGGA